Molecule: ribosomal RNA, 472 nt
Filed under: uncultured bacterium
Lineage: Bacteria
Description: bacterial SSU rRNA
Rfam family: Bacterial small subunit ribosomal RNA
Source: RNAcentral
AUUGAACGCUGGCGGAAUGCUUUACACAUGCAAGUCGAACGGUAGAGGGGGCAACCCCUUGAGAGUGGCGAACGGGUGAGUAAUAUAUCGGAACGUGCCCAGUCGUGGGGGAUAACGUAGUGAAAGUUACGCUAAUACCGCAUACGAUCUAUGGAUGAAAGCGGGGGAUCGCAAGACCUCGCGCGAUUGGAGCGGCCGAUAUCAGAUUAGGUAGUUGGUGGGGUAAAGGCUCACCAAGCCAACGAUCUGUAGCUGGUCUGAGAGGACGACCAGCCACACUGGGACUGAGACACGGCCCAGACUCCUACGGGAGGCAGCAGUGGGGAAUUUUGGACAAUGGGCGCAAGCCUGAUCCAGCCAUGCCGCGUGCAGGAUGAAGGCCUUCGGUUGUAAACUGCUUUGUACGGACGAAAAGGUUUGGCCUAAUAAGCUGAGCUCAUGACGGUACCGUAAGAAUAAGCACCGGCUAACU